CAGUCGCCGCGGGAAUACAGAGGGUGCAAGCGUUAAUCGGAAUUACUGGGCGUAAAGCGCGCGUAGGUGGUUUGUUAAGUUGGAUGUGAAAGCCCCGGGCUCAACCUGGGAACUGCAUCCAAAACUGGCAAGCUAGAGUACGGUAGAGGGUGGUGGAAUUUCCUGUGUAGCGGUGAAAUGCGUAGAUAUAGGAAGGAACACCAGUGGCGAAGGCGACCACCUGGACUGAUACUGACACUGAGGUGCGAAAGCGUGGGGAGCAAACAGGAUUAGAUACCCCCGUAGUCCCUGUCUCUUAUAC
This 301-nucleotide ribosomal RNA is filed under the name uncultured bacterium. RNAcentral's name for it is "partial 16S ribosomal RNA". It matches the Rfam family "Bacterial small subunit ribosomal RNA", at positions 509 to 807 of the family's 1533-position model. The record is from RNAcentral.